RNAcentral lists this ribosomal RNA (495 nucleotides) under uncultured bacterium. RNAcentral's name for it is "bacterial SSU rRNA". It matches the Rfam family "Bacterial small subunit ribosomal RNA", at positions 15 to 507 of the family's 1533-position model. The record is from RNAcentral.
GAUCAUGGCUCAGAUUGAACGCUGGCGGCAUGCUUUACACAUGCAAGUCGAACGGUAACAGGUCUUCGGAUGCUGACGAGUGGCGAACGGGUGAGUAAUGUAUCGGAACGUGCCCAGUAGUGGGGGAUAACUACUCGAAAGAGUGGCUAAUACCGCAUGAGAACUGAGGUUGAAAGCGGGGGACCUUCGGGCCUCGCGCUACUGGAGCGGCCGAUAUCAGAUUAGGUAGUUGGUGGGGUAAAGGCCUACCAAGCCGACGAUCUGUAGCUGGUCUGAGAGGACGACCAGCCACACUGGGACUGAGACACGGCCCAGACUCCUACGGGAGGCAGCAGUGGGGAAUUUUGGACAAUGGACGCAAGUCUGAUCCAGCAAUGCCGCGUGCAGGACGAAGGCCUUCGGGUUGUAAACUGCUUUUGUACAGAACGAAAGGGCUCUGGUUAAUACCUGGGGCAGAUGACGGUACUGUAAGAAUAAGCACCGGCUAACUACGUG